Molecule: ribosomal RNA, 2070 nt
Filed under: Triticum aestivum (bread wheat)
Lineage: Eukaryota; Viridiplantae; Streptophyta; Magnoliopsida; Poales; Poaceae
Description: partial small subunit ribosomal RNA
Source: RNAcentral
AUGAAGAUACAUAUUCAAUUCCUUCGAUCAAGUGGAAAGGCACUAAAUGUGUUUAUAGGCCGCUUUUGUUCUAAAUGCACUAAACAAGAAGAUAGUGCCACCUCGAAAAGCCAGACCACUGAUGGCACGUGUAUACAUGGGUUAAUCGCACCGUCCAGCAAGGAUGAAUUGUCGGCUGUACCUGAAGUUGCUGGUGAUGACAGAAAUACAGAAGUGCCCAAUGUCCCGUUGAAAGAGAAGCCAGUUCUCGGUUUUGACCCUCCUAGGAAGCCGAGGGCAAGACAUAGACUCAAAAUCUGGAUCAGCACUCGGCACAAUGGCAUAAUUGGACGAUGCGGUAAUAAACUGGAUUUAGGUUUCUUCAAUGGGGCGAAGCGGUUAUCAGCUGAACAUUUGAAUACUGGAUGGCCAGAUUGGCUUGUGACUGUGGCACCUGAGGCAGUGCAAGGCUGGGCCCCACUGCAAGCUGAUUCGUUUGAGAGAUUAAGUAAGGUACAUUAUCAGUUUGAUGAUACAAGUUACUUCAUCAGGAAAAAAAUGAUAUUGUUUCUUGUUAGUACUUUCUUCUUCUUCUCAAUUUCCCCGUUUUGCAUUUAUUAUUUUGAGUUGCAGAUUGGACAAGGGACUUAUAGUAGUGUUUACAAAGCUCGGGAUCUUAGAACAGCCAAAAUUGUUGCGCUCAAGAAGGUUCGGUUUGUCAAUACAGAUCCUGAAAGUGUGCGCUUUAUGGCUAGAGAAAUAUGUGUUCUUCGGAAACUCAAUCAUCCCAAUGUUAUAAAGUUGGAAGGGAUAGUAACAUCUCCUGUUUCACAAAACCUAUAUCUCGUCUUUGAAUACAUGGAACAUGACCUUGUUGGCCUUGCUGCAACUCCAGAACUCAAGUUCACCGAGUCACAGGUCAAGUGCUUGAUGCAACAGAUACUUAGUGGCCUUGAUCAUUGCCACAGCAAAGGAAUUCUUCAUCGUGACAUAAAGGGCUCCAAUCUCUUGAUUGAUGGCCAUGGUGUUUUGAAGAUUGCUGACUUUGGCUUAGCAACAUUUUAUGAUCCUGAGAGUCAGCAACCACUGACAAGCCGUGUUGCAACAUUGUGGUACAGACCACCGGAACUUCUGCUUGGUGCCACCAGGUACAGUGCUGCUGUGGAUAUGUGGAGUACAGGUUGCAUUUUUGGGGAAUUGCUGACUGCCAAGCCAGUCAUGCCAGGCAGAACUGAGGUGGAGCAAAUUCACAAGAUUUUCAAGCUCUGUGGAUCACCUUCUGACGAGUACUGGCAGAAAUUGGAAGUGCCCCCAACAGGGAUGUUCAAGCCCCUGUGCCAGUAUAAGCGGUGCAUUGCCGAGAAUUUCAAAGAUUUACCUCCAUCAGCUCUAGUUCUUCUAGAUAACUUGCUUGCAUUAGAACCAGAAGCUCGUGGAACAGCUGCCUCGAGUCUUCAGAGUGACUUUUUCAGAACAGAGCCACUUGCUUGCAGCCCUUCGGACUUACCAAAGUGUCCACCAAGCAAAGAAUAUGAUGCUAGACUCCGACAAGAGGAAGCAAGAAGACAAAGAAGGGCAGAAUCUGUUCGAUCAGGGAAUGAGAAUCCUAGAGAAAACCAUGUUGCAUAUGGUUCUAUUAAACCGCAGAGGCUUCAGCAUACCAAAACAAGGUUCAAUAGUGCACAUCUCAAUCCAAAGGAUGAUCAACUGACGUUGGCUACUGAGGUACAACCUCUAGGGUUUGAUCCCACAUGGAACAAGGGAGGUAACAAUUAUAUGGACCAUCACGAAGUACCUGAACGCAAAUAUAAAUCUGGCCGAUUGGCAAAUUCCAACAUUUCAAGGACAAAGGGCUCAGACAUGUUUAAACCCGAAUCAACUGGCGUAGGGAACAUUAUGCCUGCUUCUCACAACAAAGAGAUGGAAGUAAAAGGCCCAAUGGUGGUAAGUAUGGACUACAAGGGUAAGAGCAAAAUAGUCAAUUCCUCUGGUCCAGUGGCUACUCAAGAUGGGAACAUAGAGGAUAUGCUCAGAGAACAUGAGCGGAAUGUUCAGGAAGCGGUGCGCAAAGCGCGCUGCAUCAAGAGUUGA